CAGGCCUAACACAUGCAAGUCGAACGAUGAUCGCAAGGUCAUAGUGGCGCACGGGUGAGGAACACGUAGCUGACCUGCCCCAGAGUGCGGGAUAACGCGCCGAAAGGUGUGCUAAUACCGCGUAAGCUCACGGUGUUCAGAAAGCUGUGAGAAAAGGCCUUCGGGUCGCUCUGGGAGGGGGCUGCGGCGCAUCAGGUAGUUGGUGGGGUAACGGCCUACCAAGCCAACGACGCGUCGGGGGUCUGAGAGGAUGGCCCCCCACACUGGGACUGAGACACGGCCCAGACUCCUACGGGAGGCAGCAGUGAGGGAUAUUGCACAAUGGGGGAAACCCUGAUGCAGCGACGCCGCGUGGGCGAUGAAGGUCUUCGGAUCGUAAAGCCCUUUUUUGUGUGACGGAACGGACGGUAGCACAGGAAUAAGUCUCGGCUAACUACGUGCCAGCAGCCGCGGUAAAACGUAGGAGGCAAGCGUUAUCCGGAGUUACUGGGCGUAAAGCGCAUGUAGGCGGUCUUACAAGUUGGUUGUGAAAGCGCCCGGCUAAACUGGGCGAGGCCGAUCAAGACUGUGAGACUAGAGAGUGAUAGAGGGGCGCAGAAUUCGGGGUGUAGCGGUGAAAUGUGUAGAGAUCCCGAGGAAUACCAGUGGGGAAGCCGGCGCCCUGGGUCAUAUCUGACGCUGAGAUGCGAAAGCGUGGGGAGCGAACGGGAUUAGAGACCCCGGUAGUCCACGCCGUAAACGAUGCUUACUAAGUGUUCACCUGGCGCAAGUCAGGGGGGUGCUGAAGCUAACGCGAUAAGUAAGCCGCCUGGGGAGUACGGUCGCAAGGCUAAAACUCAAAGG
RNAcentral lists this ribosomal RNA (843 nucleotides) under uncultured bacterium. Its description in RNAcentral is "bacterial SSU rRNA". It matches the Rfam family "Bacterial small subunit ribosomal RNA", at positions 43 to 907 of the family's 1533-position model. The record is from RNAcentral.